AUUUCAUAGUGAAAUAUUUAGUUUCCCUCUUUUCAUCAUCAAACCCUUUACCUUCAAAAUUUUAGUUUCCCUCCUAUCACUCUCAAACAUCAUACCCAAUUCAUCCUCAAACCGCACAAUGAACCUAAUUUCCGGUGAUCGUUAUGUGGUUCAGUCGCCAGAAGGGUUCAAUCGGCGUGUAAGAGUGCUUCAAUCGCCCUAGUUAAUUAUUGUUCUUCAAUUGAUUAAGUAGACAAACAGAUGUGGUUCUGAAAGGCUUUUUUAAACAAAUUAUUACUCUGUAUAACAAUUACCGUCGAUGCUUGAGAACAGUACCAAUCGACCAAAUUUGCAUCUUAUUUAUGGUACUGCCACAUAUUCCUUUUUUGUCCAUCAGAGAGAGACCAGAGAAUCGGCUAAAGGGAGAAGAAGAAAGAAAGAGAAUCGAAGCGAUAGAGAGAGAAAGCAUGAACGGAAGGGGAUCCGGCCAAGCCUACGGCCGACCACCCUGUUUCGGUGACUGUCGACGGCUUAUGCCCCUGUUCUAGCGGCAACAGGUGUGGUUGAUAGCAGAAGUUAUGGCGAUGAUGGACUCAAACGGAAGGAGACACUGAGGUUAUAGAGGUCAGCAGUUAAGGUGUUCCAACAGAAAUCCGGUGAAUAAGAUCUGUCGUGCGUGUCCCGCUUUGGUGUACAUCGACAAACACCGAGGUACCGCUAUGUUUAUUCAUUGCAACAUUUGCUGAAUGAUUACCCUUCAUUCAUAGCAGUUAAAGUCGGAAGACGCUCUCAAGGCGCAAAAAGUGAACACCACAUACAAAAAAAAGCGCAAGCUUUUUAUGCUAUAAUACUUCCAGAUAUUCGUUCGAACUAGUGAACACUCAUUGUUCAUUACAACAAUGUGACAACUCAGGAUCAGAAGAUUUCUUCAAUCAUUAAUCAGUGCACCAUGAAGUAAUUACUACUGCAAAGCUUUGCUUAUAUUUAUUUGAAAAGACUUGAAACUAUGUAUCAGAGGUAAGUUUUAUGUAUAUAUUUUAUUGUAGCCGCUUUGCAAAUACUCAUACAUGCAGCAUCAAAAGACAUCUUGGAAAAAAAGAUUCUUUCCUUGCGGUAUAUGUCCGUGUUUGUCUUUUGCUUACGUUUUACGUUACGUUUACAAGCUCGUGAUUUAUCAGAAUUUUUUUUUGGUUUUAGUCGUCGAUACUUUGCAUAAUACUGUGCACGGUUUUACGACUCACGCCCCCGCAACACGGAGGUUAAACACUAGUUCUAUAUAACAUUUCAAUAGUUAGAUGGAGCUAGACAAAAAUUACAUGAAUGUCUUGCCUAUCAAACCUGAAAAUUAGUUAACAAACCUGAUCGAACUAGACAACAAGGAGAUUCAAGGCUGUUAAUGGUCAUCAGUGAGUUCCAUAUCAUUGAGAGCCUAGUAUAUAUACGUUGUCAUUAAUUUUUAUCUUUGCUUAGUGAUCAUUACAUCAUAGUUGUCAAAAGCGCAAAAGGCGCGCGCCUAGGCGCUCGGGCGCAGCGAGUCGCGCCUAUAGCGCCUGGUGGUAGCUUAGGCGUAAAAAUGUUUUUUUUUUUUUUUUUUUUGUAAAAACGGUGCUCAGGCGCAAAAGGCGCGCGCCUAGACAAUUUAUUUAUGACUAGUAUUUUCUAUUUAGAGUUUUCUAUUAGCUAAGUCGUUUAUAUUAAUGUGUAUCUAGAAGUGUUGUUCGCGCGUUAAGGAAAUGUGCAUGUCUCAAAAAAGUAUGCACACAGCCGACCCAAAAAAUUUUGCUAGAAUUCGCGAAGAAGUGAAGAGAUGCAUAGAAAUGAUGACUCAAACAAGGAAUUACCUAGUUAAACCAAAAUGUUUGAAGGUGCACCUACAAGGACCAAGGGUUGGGCAUACGAUGACACUGCGAUGAAAAUUGAACAAUUGAAGAACUUCAAAGCUCCAGGAGAUGGAAGUGCUUUGGUUGAUCAUUUUACAGACGGCACUUUUGACUUUAUGGCGGAUGUAUUCCUAAAAUAACGAUGAAAAAAUGGAUGGUGGCGUGGAUCCGUGGAAUCAUACAUAAUUUCGGGUGGGUUUAUGGAAUCAUUCAACGCGAGUCUUGAAGUUGAAAGAACACAACAAUGCGAAAAGAAAUUGAAUGGGCCAUCACAUGAAAAAAAACCUAAGCUAGAAGCUAUGUAGAAAGAUUAUGACAACCAACAAGCAAACUUUGAAGUUACGAUGCGAAGUAUUAUGGAAAAGCUACCUAAUGGAGUAUUAUAGGAUCUUGGAGAUGAUUAGGAGGUUUUCUUUACUUUUUAUCAUUGUACUUCACAACUUUAUUAUGAUUACAUUGUUCUUUUGAUUUUGGACACCUUUUAUAUUACGAUAUAAGAUUAUCUUAUAUGAUUAUGUUA
Molecule: long non-coding RNA, 2379 nt
Organism: Helianthus annuus (common sunflower)
Lineage: Eukaryota; Viridiplantae; Streptophyta; Magnoliopsida; Asterales; Asteraceae
Exons: 5
Source: RefSeq, a predicted model, not a curated record